RNAcentral lists this ribosomal RNA (982 nucleotides) under Coniochaeta sp. Its description in RNAcentral is "partial large subunit ribosomal RNA". It matches the Rfam family "Eukaryotic large subunit ribosomal RNA", at positions 76 to 1091 of the family's 3401-position model. Lineage: Eukaryota; Fungi; Ascomycota; Sordariomycetes; Coniochaetales; Coniochaetaceae. The record is from RNAcentral.
UGCCCUAGUAACGGCGAGUGAAGCGGCAACAGCUCAAAUUUGAAAUCUGGCUUCGGCCCGAGUUGUAAUUUGUAGAGGAUGCUUUUGGUGAGGUGCCUUCUGAGUUCCCUGGAACGGGACGCCAGAGAGGGUGAGAGCCCCGUAUAGUCGGCCACCGAUCCUUUGUAAAGCUCCUUCGACGAGUCGAGUAGUUUGGGAAUGCUGCUCAAAAUGGGAGGUAUAUCUCUUCUAAAGCUAAAUAUUGGCCAGAGACCGAUAGCGCACAAGUAGAGUGAUCGAAAGAUGAAAAGCACUUUGAAAAGAGGGUUAAAUAGCACGUGAAAUUGUUGAAAGGGAAGCGCUUGUGACCAGACUUGCGCCGGGCUGAUCAUCCAGUGUUCUCACUGGUGCACUCGACCCGGCUCAGGCCAGCGUCGGUUCUCGUAGGGGGAUAAAAGCUUUGGGAACGUGGCACCUUCGGGUGUGUUAUAGCCCGCUGCUUAAUGCCCUUAUGGGGACCGAGGUUCGCGCUCUGCAAGGACGCUGGCAUAAUGGUCAUCAGCGACCCGUCUUGAAACACGGACCAAGGAGUCGAGGUUUUGCGCGAGUGUUUGGGUGUAAAACCCGCACGCGUAAUGAAAGUGAACGUAGGUGAGAGCUUCGGCGCAUCAUCGACCGAUCCUGAUGUAUUCGGAUGGAUUUGAGUAAGAGCGUAUAGCCUCGGACCCGAAAGAUGGUGAACUAUGCCUGAAUAGGGUGAAGCCAGAGGAAACUCUGGUGGAGGCUCGCAGCGGUUCUGACGUGCAAAUCGAUCGUCAAAUUUGGGCAUGGGGGGCGAAAGACUAAUCGAACCAUCUAGUAGCUGGUUACCGCCGAAGUUUCCCUCAGGAUAGCAGUGUUGUUCUUCAGUUUUAUGAGGUAAAGCGAAUGAUUAGGGACUCGGGGGCGCUAUAUAGCCUUCAUCCAUUCUCAAACUUUAAAUAUGUAAGAAGCCCUUGUUACU